UACGUAGGGGGCGAGCGUUGUCCGGAGUUACUGGGCGUAAAGCGCACGCAGGCGGUCUGCUAAGUUUGGAGUGACAGUUGGUGGCUCAACCACCAAAGUGCUUCGAAAACUGACAGACUUGAGGGCUUCAGAGGGACACGGAAUUCCGGGUGGAGUGGUGAAAUGCGUAGAGAUCCGGAGGAACACCUAAGGCGAAGGCAGUGUCCUGGGGAGUACCUGACGCUCAGGUGCGAAAGCUAGGGGAGCGAACGGG
RNAcentral lists this ribosomal RNA (253 nucleotides) under uncultured bacterium. Its description in RNAcentral is "partial 16S ribosomal RNA". It matches the Rfam family "Bacterial small subunit ribosomal RNA", at positions 524 to 776 of the family's 1533-position model. The record is from RNAcentral.